This 254-nucleotide ribosomal RNA is filed under the name uncultured bacterium. RNAcentral describes it as "partial 16S ribosomal RNA". It matches the Rfam family "Bacterial small subunit ribosomal RNA", at positions 524 to 776 of the family's 1533-position model. The record is from RNAcentral.
UACGGAGGGUCCAAGCGUUAUCCGGAAUCAUUGGGUUUAAAGGGUCCGUAGGCGGUUUUGUAAGUCAGUGGUGAAAGCCCAUCGCUCAACGGUGGAACGGCCAUUGAUACUGCAAAACUUGAAUUAUUGGGAAGUAACUAGAAUAUGUAGUGUAGCGGUGAAAUGCUUAGAUAUUACAUGGAAUACCAAUUGCGAAGGCAGGUUACUAUCAAUAUAUUGACGCUGAUGGACGAAAGCGUUGGGGAGCGAACAGG